This 253-nucleotide ribosomal RNA is filed under the name uncultured bacterium. Its description in RNAcentral is "partial 16S ribosomal RNA". It matches the Rfam family "Bacterial small subunit ribosomal RNA", at positions 524 to 776 of the family's 1533-position model. The record is from RNAcentral.
UACGUAGGGCGCAAGCGUUGUCCGGAAUUAUUGGGCGUAAAGAGCUCGUAGGCGGUUUGUCGCGUCUGCUGUGAAAACCCAAGGCUCAACCUUGGGCUUGCAGUGGGUACGGGCAGACUAGAGUGCGGUAGGGGUGACUGGAAUUCCUGGUGUAGCGGUGAAAUGCGCAGAUAUCAGGAGGAACACCGAUGGCGAAGGCAGGUCUCUGGGCCACUACUGACGCUGAGAAGCGAAAGCAUGGGGAGCGAACAGG